UGUCAAGGAACGUUCAAAUUGCUAUCUUGCCAGCUGUGAAUUAUUUCCUUUGCUCUGGAGUUUGCACUGGCAUGUGGGGAGAGGGUAGGUAGCAAAGAUCCCUUGAAUUUCCAGAGUACAAAAUUAGGGAGUACAGAAUUCCACUGCAUCAUUCCAAAGGAUCCAGAUUGAGUAAAAAAUAAUGUGCUAUCUACGAUAAAACACAGAAUGCGGAUGAUGGUGCUGAUGGGAUUUGAUGCUGGCCAACCCAAAUCAGGAAAAAAGAAAUGUCUACUUCAAACUUGCAUGCCACGAAUUAUUUUUCACAAGGUGAACAUGUUUUUAAUCUGCGAUAGUAUAAUUUAUGUUCCGACGAGCAAGGAGUUUUAGAGGAUCAGAUUAGUGGCUCAUCGAGCGGUUGGAACAGCACACCGCAUUCCUGAACUUCCCACACAAAUGUUUCCAUGCACUUUAGUCCGUUCUGAAGCCUCAGAUUUCCUAUAACCUUAGGAGGAGCCUCCCGCUGCUAUCCUUUCCUGAUAAGCUCCAGAUAUAUUUUACUGUCUCACCUUCUCCAUAAAAUGGAAUUAGGAGGAAAUAAGGGGCUCUUGGCUUUUAUAAUUUAUUACC
This is a long non-coding RNA of Felis catus (domestic cat), 609 nucleotides long. RefSeq lists it as uncharacterized. The transcript is spliced from 3 exons. The record is from RefSeq and is a predicted model, not a curated record. NCBI's taxonomy places the organism in Eukaryota, Metazoa, Chordata, Mammalia, Carnivora, Felidae.